UGGGGAAUUUUGGACAAUGGGCGCAAGCCUGAUCCAGCCAUGCCGCGUGCGGGAAGAAGGCCUUCGGGUUGUAAACCGCUUCUGUCAGGGAAGAAAUCUUCUGAGUUAAUACCUCGGGAGGAUGACGGUACCUGAAGAAUAAGCACCGGCUAACUACGUGCCAGCAGCCGCGGUAAUACGUAGGGUGCAAGCGUUAAUCGGAAUUACUGGGCGUAAAGCGUGCGCAGGCGGUUUUGUAAGACAGAGGUGAAAUCCCCGGGCUCAACCUGGGAACUGCCUAUGUGACUGCAAGGCUUGAGUGCGGCAGAGGGGGAUGGAAUUCCGCGUGUAGCAGUGAAAUGCGUAGAUAUGCGGAGGAACACCGAUGGCGAAGGCAAUCCCCUGGGCCUGCACUGACGCUCAUGCACGAAAGCGUGGGGAGCAAAACAGGAUUAGAUACCCUGGUAGUCCACGCCCUAAAACGAUGUCAACUGGUUGUUGGGAAGGUUCCUUCUCAGUAACGUAGCUAACGCGUGAAAGUUGACCGCCUGGGGGAGUACGGCCGCAAGGUUG
This 552-nucleotide ribosomal RNA is filed under the name uncultured bacterium. RNAcentral describes it as "partial 16S ribosomal RNA". It matches the Rfam family "Bacterial small subunit ribosomal RNA", at positions 355 to 896 of the family's 1533-position model. The record is from RNAcentral.